RNAcentral lists this ribosomal RNA (404 nucleotides) under uncultured dinoflagellate. Its description in RNAcentral is "partial small subunit ribosomal RNA". It matches the Rfam family "Eukaryotic small subunit ribosomal RNA", at positions 30 to 432 of the family's 1831-position model. Lineage: Eukaryota; Dinophyceae. The record is from RNAcentral.
GCUUGUCUCAAAGAUUAAGCCAUGCAUGUCUAAGUAUAAGCACUUAUACCGUGAAACUGCGAAUGGCUCAUUACAUCAGUUAUAGUUUAUUUGAUAGUCCCCACUACUUGGAUAACCGUAGUAAUUCUAGAGCUAAUACAUGCGUCAAGUCCUGACUGCGCGAGCGGAAAGGAUGUGUUUAUUAGAUACAGAACCAACCCAGGCUCUGCCUGGUUAAUUGGUGAUUCAUGAUAACUGAAUGAAUCGCAUGGUCCGCCGGCGAUAAAUCAUUCAAGUUUCUGACCUAUCAGCUUCCGACGGUAGGGUAUUGGCCUACCGUGGCAAUGACGGGUAACGGAGAAUUAGGGUUCGAUUCCGGAGAGGGAGCCUGAGAAACGGCUACCACAUCUAAGGAAGGCAGCAGG